AAGGUGCUCGUGUGGAAUGUCCGUGGCCUCAAUGAUCCGGUGUGGAGAAUCGCGAUUUUCCAAGUAGUCUCAGCAGCCAAUCCUAGCAUACUUUGCUUUCGGGAAACUAAGAUGGAAGUUGUAAAUCAGGGUGUGGUUCCGCACUGUUUGGGCAGUAAACUAGCAAGUUUCUAUUACCUUCCUGCCUCGAGCACUCAUUGA
RNAcentral lists this ribosomal RNA (201 nucleotides) under Triticum aestivum (bread wheat). RNAcentral's name for it is "partial small subunit ribosomal RNA". The record is from RNAcentral. Lineage: Eukaryota; Viridiplantae; Streptophyta; Magnoliopsida; Poales; Poaceae.